AUGGUUCAGGUGUUGAGUCAGAUGAUUCGUUUGGGCCUCUCAGGAUGCUUUAGAAGUCCCUGGGCUGGUGUGGGAUUCAGAUCCUUCUCAUGAGCUCCAUAAAAAACACAGAGGGGGUGGGAUUCCCCUGUCCCAGGCAGAAGUGAGCACAGCAUGGAUGUCUGCAUGCAAGAUCUUGGUCUAUGUUCAAUGGAGAUGGAGGGUGGGAGUCAGUUGCUCAUACACAAACAACUGGUGACAUUUGAAGAGACAGAGGUGAAACCAGGCUAAAACAGGAACUCACAGCUCAACUCCAGGGCAAUAAGGCAGCAUACAAGAAGCAGAAGGAGGGAUAUGCAGCAAAGGAGGAAUUCAAAAAUUGUGUCCACCAAAACAGACAUGGUGUUAGGGAGGCCAAAGCUCUCAGAGGGUGCACACUGGCAGUGGACAUCAAAGGCAUGAAGAAGAGCUGCUACUGCUUCAGGAACGGUGAAGAAUAAAAGGGAAAAUGUUGGUUUCUUGCUGAAGGGGGCAGAGAACCUAGUAAGAGCAGAUGUAGGUAGGUCUGAGGAGCUCAGGGCCUUUUUGGCUUCCGUCUUCUCCAGCAAGGUCUCCUGGGCUGUUGUGCCUUGAGUCAGGGCUCCAGGCAAGAAAAGCAACCAAAAGUGCAUGAGGGCUGAGUGAGGGAUGACUUGCAAGAACUCCACCCCUACAAGUCAGUGGGAUUGGAACAGCUGCACCAAAGGACAUUGAGAGAGCUGGCCACUGUCAUAGCAAGGCUGCCCUCUGUCAUCCUUGAGAGGUCGUGGAGAUGGGGGUGAGGUCCCAAUAACUGCAGAAAGGCAAACGUUACAUCCACUCUCAAGAAAGGCCCAGAGGGCAACCCAGGGAGCAACAGGCCAUUCAGCCUCAAUUGGUUGAGGAGUGUGUCGUGGAGUGAGUCCACUCAUUUCUGGGCACAURAGGGAGAAGAAGGUGAUAGGGAAGAGGCAGCAUGGAUUGGCUCAGGGUAAAUUGUGCCUCACCAGCCUGAUUGCCUUCUAGGAUCACAUAGCUCUUUGUGUUUGGAGAGAAGAAAAUGUCUUUCAACUUGAUUUGAGCAAGGGGUUUGACACUGUCUCCCACAAUAGCCUUGUGGAAUACAAUUUAGAAAUUUACCAUCUAGAUGGCUGGACAACCAUAUGGCUAAAGAACUUGUGGGAUGAUGAGGCUCAGAGGGCAGUGGUGAAUGGGUAGUACUCCUCCUGGAGGCCAGGGAGAAGUGGAGCACCACAGGGUCUCUCCAAGAACAUAUCCUGUUCAACAACUUUAUUAGUGACAUGGAAGAGGCAAUGCUCACUACUUUUGUUGAGGACAAAAAAACUGCAGGGGGGCCCCAGCCACAUGCUUGAGGGCUGCUAUUCAGAGAGACCUAGACAGGCAGGAGCAAUGGGCUGACAAUACCUGGAGUCCAGGGCAUGAGCCACCUCAUCUGCAGCCAGACCUCUGGCAGAGGAGAGA
Molecule: long non-coding RNA, 1479 nt
Filed under: Apteryx haastii (Great spotted kiwi)
Lineage: Eukaryota; Metazoa; Chordata; Aves; Apterygiformes; Apterygidae
Description: lncRNA (ENSAHAG00000012478.1)
Source: RNAcentral